AGCAAAAUGAUGAGCUGCUUUGAUCUGAAAUACAUGUGGAUAACAUUAAAAGGUCUUCAUAGUUCUCUGAUUGCU
Small nucleolar RNA from Elaeis guineensis (African oil palm), 75 nucleotides. RefSeq annotates it as small nucleolar RNA R160. Lineage: Eukaryota; Viridiplantae; Streptophyta; Magnoliopsida; Arecales; Arecaceae. The record is from RefSeq and is a predicted model, not a curated record.